CAGGCUUAACACAUGCAAGUCGAGGGGCAGCAUGGUCUUAGCUUGCUAAGGCCGACGGCGACCGGCGCACGGGUGAGUAACACGUAUCCAACCUGCCGUCUACUCUUGGACAGCCUUCUGAAAGGAAGAUUAAUACAAGAUGGCAUCAUGAGUCCGCAUGUUCACAUGAUUAAAGGUAUUCCGGUAGACGAUGGGGAUGCGUUCCAUUAGAUAGUAGGCGGGGUAACGGCCCACCUAGUCUUCGAUGGAUAGGGGUUCUGAGAGGAAGGUCCCCCACAUUGGAACUGAGACACGGUCCAAACUCCUACGGGAGGCAGCAGUGAGGAAUAUUGGUCAAUGGGCGAGAGCCUGAACCAGCCAAGUAGCGUGAAGGAUGACUGCCCUAUGGGUUGUAAACUUCUUUUAUAAAGGAAUAAAGUCGGGUAUGGAUACCCGUUUGCAUGUACUUUAUGAAUAAGGAUCGGCUAACUCCGUGCCAGCAGCCGCGGUAAUACGGAGGAUCCGAGCGUUAUCCGGAUUUAUUGGGUUUAAAGGGAGCGUAGAUGGAUGUUUAAGUCAGUUGUGAAAGUUUGCGGCUCAACCGUAAAAUUGCAGUUGAUACUGGAUAUCUUGAGUGCAGUUGAGGCAGGCGGAAUUCGUGGUGUAGCGGUGAAAUGCUUAGAUAUCACGAAGAACUCCGAUUGCGAAGGCAGCCUGCUAAGCUGCAACUGACAUUGAGGCUCGAAAGUGUGGGUAUCAAACAGGAUUAGAUACCCUGGUAGUCCACACGGUAAACGAUGAAUACUCGCUGUUUGCGAUAUACUGCAAGCGGCCAAGCGAAAGCGUUAAGUAUUCCACCUGGGGAGUACGCCGGCAACGGUGAAACUCAAAGGAAUUGACGGGGGCCCGCACAAGCGGAGGAACAUGUGGUUUAAUUCGAUGAUACGCGAGGAACCUUACCCGGGCUUAAAUUGCAGAUGAAUUACGGUGAAAGCCGUAAGCCGCAAGGCAUCUGUGAAGGUGCUGCAUGGUUGUCGUCAGCUCGUGCCGUGAGGUGUCGGCUUAAGUGCCAUAACGAGCGCAACCCUUGUUGUCAGUUACUAACAGGUUCCGCUGAGGACUCUGACAAGACUGCCAUCGUAAGAUGUGAGGAAGGUGGGGAUGACGUCAAAUCAGCACGGCCCUUACGUCCGGGGCUACACACGUGUUACAAUGGGGGGUACAGAGGGUCGCUACCACGCGAGUGGAUGCCAAUCCCCAAAACCUCUCUCAGUUCGGACUGGAGUCUGCAACCCGACUCCACGAAGCUGGAUUCGCUAGUAAUCGCGCAUCAGCCACGGCGCGGUGAAUACGUUCCCGGGCCUUGUACACACCGCCCGUCAAGCCAUGGGAGCCGGGGGUACCUGAAGUGCGUAACCGCGAGGAGCGCCCUAGGGUAAAACUGGUGACUGGGGCUAAGUCAUAAC
This 1445-nucleotide ribosomal RNA is filed under the name uncultured organism. Its description in RNAcentral is "16S ribosomal RNA". It matches the Rfam family "Bacterial small subunit ribosomal RNA". The record is from RNAcentral.